This 1581-nucleotide ribosomal RNA is filed under the name Triticum aestivum (bread wheat). Its description in RNAcentral is "partial small subunit ribosomal RNA". Lineage: Eukaryota; Viridiplantae; Streptophyta; Magnoliopsida; Poales; Poaceae. The record is from RNAcentral.
AUGGCUUCGUCAACGCCGCCGGCGCCGGGGAGCAGGGAUCGCCUGAGCGACCUCCCGGACUUCCUGCUGGGCCACGUCCUCUCCUUCCUCCCGAACAAGGAGGCCGGCCGCGCCGCCGGGCUGUCCCGGCGGUGGCGCGACAUCUUCUGCAACGUGCACACCAUCUCGUUCGCUGAGAGUCAGGGCGAGAGGGCCGACGACUGGAGCUCCGACUGCUACGAGGCCGAGGAGAAGAAGAGCGGCAGCGCGGUGCUCCUUGACGACGUCUGCUCCGCGCUCCUCUGCCGCCGCCGGACCGCCGGGCAGCACGUGCCGCUGCGCAGCCUCCGCUUCGCCUUCGACAGCUGCCACCACUGGGACUUCGUCCACGUCGACCAGUGGCUCUCCUACGUGCUGCGGCAUAGCAACCAGGAGCUCCACCUCGACCUGGGCUUCCAGAUCGGCGAUAUCUGUCGCCGCAAAGAUAACGAGGGCAACCACGACCAUGACGGCCGUGAGGAAGGGGUGGUGGACAGCGGCACCGACAACUCCGACCAGGAGGACGAGUGUGACAAGAUGAGUAGGCUGUGGACAUAUGUGCUCCCAAGAAGGCUCUUCACCUGCACGGUCAUACGGACGCUAUGUGUCGCCUCUUGCCGGCUGAAACUGCCGGCGGCCGUCAACCUGCCGCUCCUCGAGACUUUGAGCAUCACGGCUCCCCACUACGACGGCGGGAGAAGCAUCCAGCGGCUGAUCUCCAGCUGCCCCCGCCUCAUCGACCUGACGCUGGAAGCUAUCUACCGCCUCAAGAGAGUAUCCGUCCUCGACAAACGCCUCCGCAGAUUCGCCCUUCGCUGCUGUCACAACUUGAAGUCUGUUGACAUCGACGCGUCGGAGCUGAGGUCGCUGGACUACUGUGGCACGGUGCCCGCAGAGUCGCUCUUGUCCUUGCACGGCUUGCGGGGAGUCCCUUCGUGCACGGUCGACUUCUGCAUAGCGCUCUCUCAGGAGGCGGAGUUUACCAGGUUCAGAGGGUUUAUGGAGAAAAUAUCUGAUGCCAAGUACCUGCAUUUGCACAACCGAAGCCUAGAGAGCAUGUUCUUCUUGGGGUUCCCCUCGUUCUCUAGCCUGACGCGGCUCGUGCUGCAAGGGCCCCUUGAUAGUUGCGGCAUUGUCGUCUCAGUGGGUAGAAUCCUGGAGCAGACCCCAAACCUGGAGAUUCUGUCGCUGUGCAUGGAAGAGCGCGUUAAGGACACCCAAGAUCAAUAUGGCACCAUGGGCGAGGAGUAUGAGGAUGAUGUUGUGGAGAAGGAGAAGGAUGGAGAGAGCGAUGAUUUGUUUGUAGCUCCCGACGAGUUCACGGUUCCUGAUGAGGCAAGCUUCUCAAUGCCGUGUCUGCGGCACCGAGUGAAUGAGAUCAACAUGGUGCACUACGUGGGCGACGAAACACAAAGGAUGAUGGCCAGGCUGUUGUUCCGCAACGCGCUUGUGCUUGAGAGGAUGUGCGUCGUCCUCGUGAAGGGGACGUUCGAGUUGCAGUCUAAGCUCAAGAAUGAGAUUGAUAGCUGGGUAGUGGCCGAUGUAGAAAAGAUUUUCCUGUAG